This 85-nucleotide transfer RNA is filed under the name Zarea fungicola. Its description in RNAcentral is "Lecanicillium fungicola transfer RNA-Leu". It matches the Rfam family "tRNA". Rfam says of the family: Transfer RNA (tRNA) molecules are approximately 80 nucleotides in length. Their secondary structure includes four short double-helical elements and three loops (D, anti-codon, and T loops). The record is from RNAcentral. Lineage: Eukaryota; Fungi; Ascomycota; Sordariomycetes; Hypocreales; Cordycipitaceae.
ACGGAUAUGCCGGAAUUGGUAGACGGGAUGGUCUUAGGAACCAUUGAAAAAUACAUUCGUAUAGGUUCGACCCCUAUUAUCUGUA